Molecule: ribosomal RNA, 253 nt
Filed under: uncultured bacterium
Lineage: Bacteria
Description: partial 16S ribosomal RNA
Rfam family: Bacterial small subunit ribosomal RNA
Source: RNAcentral
UACGUAUGGUGCAAGCGUUAUCCGGAUUUACUGGGUGUAAAGGGAGCGCAGGCGGCACGGCAAGCCUGAUGUGAAAGCCCGCGGCCCAACCGCGGGACUGCAUUGGGAACUACCGGGCUGGAGUGCCGGAGAGGUAGGCGGAAUUCCUAGUGUAGCGGUGAAAUGCGUAGAUAUUAGGAGGAACACCAGUGGCGAAGGCGGCCUACUGGACGGUGACUGACGCUGAGGCUCGAAAGCGUGGGUAUCGAACAGG